UUUGUUAGACAGACACGAAGCCCUUCAGGAAGUACAUGAAGAUGGAUGAGACCUACUGAAACUUCUUCCACAUUCUCUUUCCUCUGGAAGUCUUGCCAGUGUAUACCACUGCCUGAUCAUGGUACCCCCAGUGAAACAGCUUGAACAAGAAGAGCAAGACAGCAAGAAAACAAAAUCAUAUCCUCUUAAAGUCUUUCAACGCUGUUGUUUCAGGAAUUCUAAGAUCAUUGGCUAAUACUAAGAAUAAGGAUUAUAAAAAUAUUUUACGACUUCCAUCCAUUAGACCUUUUGGAAAGAAAGUGAAAAUUCCAUUUAAGAAAAAUGCUAUGACAAUACGUAAUGGAGAAGUCUGCAUCCUUUAUGUAAUGAGGCAUGAAGCUCUGUCACCAGAAAUGGAAACACACAGACAAGAUAUGUUGCUCAGGAAGAUCACAGUUUCUUUCAUUACUUGCAGAACUACCUUUGAAAUAACCACCAGAGGCUCACAUCCACUGCUGUCAAGCCAGAGCAUUCUAAAACAGAACAUAAAAUCUCCUACAACCCUUGCUGCCCACCAAGAUGAAACUUCAAGGGCAGCGCAUUUCUCUUUACCCAGGAUGACUACCAUGUCUCAGCCUGAGCAGUGCUCUCCUCUAAAUGGGAAAGUACAACAGUUCCUCAAGAAGGCUGCUUUCCCAUCCGUAGAAUUGCAAACUAGAAAUGAGAGAGAAGCACAACAGAAAGUGGACAAAGAACUAAGAAAGAAAUUGGGUAUUGUUAAAGAAAUAAGAAUCCAUCUCAAGAGGAUAAAUCCCAGUGAACUUAAAGAGGAUUCUGGCAAAGCUUCUCCAUUUAAAUGGAAGUUCCCCAAGAAGGCUGCUUCCCCAUCUGAAGAACUGCAAAGCAGAACUGAGAGAGUAGCACAACAGAAAGACGACAAUGAACUAAGAAGGAAAUUUGGUAUUGUUAAAGAUAUAAGAAUCCAUCUCAAGAGGUUAAAAUUUUAAUGCAAUUCCAUUGUUCAAGUUGCUUAUCUGUAGCAAAGUUAGCAAUCAAUAACAAAUUACUGUUUCUCUUAGAUCUAUUAUCCCUUGUUCAGUCUGUAGCAUUCAACUCACACCUUGUCAACUGAAUCUUAAACCAACGUCUACUACUCUUUCCAAAAUCUUUGAGAAAGGCCCACUUUUAUUGUCCCUGAGUGGGAACAACAUUGGUUUACACUCAGCAUUCAUGGAAAAUAGGCUGUAACUGUUUCAUGAAAUAUUUCAAGGCCAGAUAAAGCAAAACUUUCCAGAGUAUCUUAAAAGAGCAUAGGUAUGAAUUCCUUUUCUUUUUUCCUUUCUGCCAGUACCAAAAUAAAGGAUCUGGUGUUAAAAAGAAAGAAAGAAAG
Molecule: long non-coding RNA, 1369 nt
Filed under: Numida meleagris (helmeted guineafowl)
Lineage: Eukaryota; Metazoa; Chordata; Aves; Galliformes; Numididae
Description: lncRNA (ENSNMEG00000001553.1)
Source: RNAcentral